GACGAACGCUGGCGGCGUGCUUAACACAUGCAAGUCGAACGGAAAGGCCCUGCUUUUGUGGGGUGCUCGAGUGGCGAACGGGUGAGUAACACGUGAGUAACCUGCCCUUGACUUUGGGAUAACUUCAGGAAACUGGGGCUAAUACCGGAUAGGAGCUCCUGCUGCAUGGGGGGGGUUGGAAAGUUUCGGCGGUUGGGGAUGGACUCGCGGCUUAUCAGCUUGUUGGUGGGGUAGUGGCUUACCAAGGCUUUGACGGGUAUCCGGCCUGAGAGGGUGGCCGGCCACAUUGGGCCUGCGAUACGGCCCAGACUCCUACGGGAGGCAGCAGUGGGGAAUAUUGCACAAUGGGCGGAAGCCUGAUGCAGCAACGCCGCGUGCGGGAUGACGGCCUUCGGGUUGUAAACCGCUUUCGCCUGUGCCGAAGCGUGAGUGACGGUAAUGGGUAAAGAAGCACCGGCUAACUACGUG
This 468-nucleotide ribosomal RNA is filed under the name uncultured bacterium. RNAcentral's name for it is "partial 16S ribosomal RNA". It matches the Rfam family "Bacterial small subunit ribosomal RNA", at positions 28 to 507 of the family's 1533-position model. The record is from RNAcentral.